GGAGGGGUGGCCGAGUGGCCGAAGGCGGCAGUUUGCUAAACUGUUAAUCGGGUUAAACCGGUUCGUGGGUUCGAAUCCCAUCCCCUCCU
RNAcentral lists this transfer RNA (89 nucleotides) under Rhodospirillales bacterium. RNAcentral's name for it is "tRNA-Ser". It matches the Rfam family "tRNA". Rfam says of the family: Transfer RNA (tRNA) molecules are approximately 80 nucleotides in length. Their secondary structure includes four short double-helical elements and three loops (D, anti-codon, and T loops). Further hydrogen bonds mediate the characteristic L-shaped molecular structure. tRNAs have two regions of fundamental functional importance: the anti-codon, which is responsible for specific mRNA codon recognition, and the 3' end, to which the tRNAs corresponding amino acid is attached (by aminoacyl-tRNA synthetases). tRNAs cope with the degeneracy of the genetic code in two manners: having more than one tRNA (with a specific anti-codon) for a particular amino acid; and 'wobble' base-pairing, i.e. permitting non-standard base-pairing at the 3rd anti-codon position. The record is from RNAcentral. Lineage: Bacteria; Pseudomonadati; Pseudomonadota; Alphaproteobacteria; Rhodospirillales.